GCAUAUCAAUAAGCGGAGGAAAAGAAACCAACAGGGAUUGCCUUAGUAGCGGCGAGUGAAGCGGCAAAAGCUCAAAUUUGAAAUCUGGCACUUUCAGUGUCCGAGUUGUAAUUUGAAGAAGGUAUCUUUGGGUCUGGCUCUUGUCUAUGUUUCUUGGAACAGAACGUCACAGAGGGUGAGAAUCCCGUGCGAUGAGAUGUCCCAGACCUAUGUAAAGUUCCUUCGAAGAGUCGAGUUGUUUGGGAAUGCAGCUCUAAGUGGGUGGUAAAUUCCAUCUAAAGCUAAAUAUUGGCGAGAGACCGAUAGCGAACAAGUACAGUGAUGGAAAGAUGAAAAGAACUUUGAAAAGAGAGUGAAAAAGUACGUGAAAUUGUUGAAAGGGAAGGGCUUGAGAUCAGACUUGGUAUUUUGUAUGUUACUCUCUCGGGGGUGGCCUCUACAGUUUACCGGGCCAGCAUCAGUUUGAGCGGUAGGAUAAGUGCAAAGAAAUGUGGCACUGCUUCGGUAGUGUGUUAUAGUCUUUGUCGAUACUGCCAGCUUAGACUGAGGACUGCGGCUUCGGCCUAGGAUGUUG
RNAcentral lists this ribosomal RNA (574 nucleotides) under Lodderomyces parapsilosis. RNAcentral describes it as "Candida parapsilosis partial large subunit ribosomal RNA". It matches the Rfam family "Eukaryotic large subunit ribosomal RNA", at positions 38 to 628 of the family's 3401-position model. The record is from RNAcentral. Lineage: Eukaryota; Fungi; Ascomycota; Pichiomycetes; Serinales; Debaryomycetaceae.